UAGGCUAGGUAGGAUAACUGUUGUAGGCUAGGUAGGAUAACUGUUGUAGGCUAGGUAGGAUAACUGUGUUGUUCUCACUGGAAAACAACAAGGCAACCAUUCAUUACAUUACCCAUAGAAUAGUCUAGGAUAAGUGUUGUAGGCUAGGUAGGAUAACUGUUGUAGGCUAGGUAGGAUAACUGUUGUAGGCUAGGUAGGAUAACUGUUGUAGGCUAGGUAGGAUAACUGUUGUAGGCUAGGUAGGAUAACUGUUGUAGGCUAGGUAGGAUAACUGUGUUGUUCUCACUGGAAAACAACAAGGCAACCAUUCAUUACAUUACCCAUAGAAUAGUCUAGGAUAAGUGUUGUAGGCUAGGUAGGAUAACUGUUGUAGGCUAGGUAGGAUAACUGUUGUAGGCUAGGUAGGAUAACUGUUGUAGGCUAGGUAGGAUAACUGUUGUAGGCUAGGUAGGAUAACUGUUGUAGGCUAGGUAGGAUAACUGUGUUGUUCUCACUGGAAAACAACAAGGCAACCAUUCAUUACAUUACCCAUAGAAUAGUCUAGGAUAAGUGUUGUAGGCUAGGUAGGAUAACUGUUGUAGGCUAGGUAGGAUAACUGUGUUGUAGGCUAGGUAGGAUAACUGUUGUAGGCUAGGUAGGAUAACUGUUGUAGGCUAGGUAGGAUAACUGUGUUGUUCUCACUGGAAAACAACAAGGCAACCAUUCAUUACAUUACCCAUAGAAUAGUCUAGGAUAAGUGUUGUAGGCUAGGUAGGAUAACUGUUGUAGGCUAGGUAGGAUAACUGUGUUGUAGGCUAGGUAGGAUAACUGUGUUGUAGGCUAGGUAGGAUAACUGUUGUAGGCUAGGUAGGAUAACUGUUGUAGGCUAGGUAGGAUAACUGUUGUAGGCUAGGUAGGAUAACUGUGUUGUUCUCACUGGAAAACAACAAGGCAACCAUUCAUUACAUUACCCAUAGAAUAGUCUAGGAUAAGUGUUGUAGGCUAGGUAGGAUAACUGUUGUAGGCUAGGUAGGAUAACUGUGUUGUAGGCUAGGUAGGAUAACUGUGUUGUAGGCUAGGUAGGAUAACUGUGUUGUAGGCUAGGUAGGAUAACUGUGUUGUAGGCUAGGUAGGAUAACUGUGUUGUAGGCUAGGUAGGAUAACUGUGUUGUAGGCUAGGUAGGAUAACUGUGUUGUAGGCUAGGUAGGAUAACUGUGUUGUAGGCUAGGUAGGAUAACUGUGUUGUAGGCUAGGUAGGAUAACUGUGUUGUAGGCUAGGUAGGAUAACUGUGUUGUAGGCUAGGUAGGAUAACUGUGUUGUAGGCUAGGUAGGAUAACUGUGUUGUAGGCUAGGUAGGAUAACUGUGUUGUAGGCUAGGUAGGAUAACUGUGUUGUAGGCUAGGUAGGAUAACUGUGUUGUAGGCUAGGUAGGAUAACUGUGUUGUAGGCUAGGUAGGAUAACUGUGUUGUAGGCUAGGUAGGAUAACUGUGUUGUAGGCUAGGUAGGAUAACUGUGUUGUAGGCUAGGGAGGAUCAUUGUGUCGUAGGCUAGUCUAGGGAGGAGCAUUGUGUCGUAGGCUAGUCUAGGGAGGAUCAUUGUGUCGGAGACUAGUCCAGGGAGGAUUAUUGGGUCGGAGACUAGUCCAGGGAGGAUCAUUGGGUCGGAGACUAGUCUAGGGAGGAUCAUUGUGUCGGAGACUAGUCCAGGGAGGAUCAUUGGGUCGGAGACUAGUUCAGGGAGGAUCAUUGUGUCGUAGGCUAGUCUAGGGAGGAUCAUUGGGUCGGAGACUAGUCCAGGGAGGAUCAUUGGGUCGGAGACUAGUUCAGGGAGGAUCAUUGGGUCGGAGACUAGUCUAGGGAGGAUCA
Oncorhynchus keta (chum salmon) is the source of this 1847-nucleotide long non-coding RNA. RefSeq lists it as uncharacterized. The record is from RefSeq and is a predicted model, not a curated record. NCBI's taxonomy places the organism in Eukaryota, Metazoa, Chordata, Actinopteri, Salmoniformes, Salmonidae. The transcript is spliced from 4 exons.